GAAACGCUGGUGUAUACAAGGAGAUCCCCACUUCGCUCCGACUGGACGGCUACAAGCGGGGGCCGUCAGAAAUCAAAGUGAAGAUCAAAAAUCUCACACAGCAAUACAGACACUACGUAAAGACGGGACAGACGACUGGCUCAGCAUCAGUUAAAUAGCCCUAUUCCCAAAAAAUUCAUUCUUUCUUGGGAUGCCUCCCGGUAAACGACGCGAGUCUUGUGCAAGAGACAAGCUGCGGAGAGGAAGGCACCACUGUGGAAGAGCUCAUCAGCGGUAUGGUGUGCAGUGGUCGCCAGAACAAUGAACAUAGUAGCCCUGAAGUAAGCGAAAGCACGGGAAUCUCUUAAGAUCCACCGCCCGAAGCAGCUGA
Long non-coding RNA from Rhipicephalus microplus (southern cattle tick), 370 nucleotides. RefSeq lists it as uncharacterized. The record is from RefSeq and is a predicted model, not a curated record. Lineage: Eukaryota; Metazoa; Arthropoda; Arachnida; Ixodida; Ixodidae.